ACAGUCACAGUAAAAACCUCUCUGAAGAAGGCUCACUGCAGAGGUUUGAGAAGACACUGCAACAUCAGGGGUGUUUUUCUUGGAACUGUCACUGUGGAACCGGGCCCUGGGCAAUGAAGACAAAUGCCCUGGAAGUGAGUGGUCCCUGCAGAGAUGGGAUCGAGCGUCAGUUUCUUUCUGCAUCGGUGAUCACUCUGCGCUGGGAGUUACAAGGGUCUGGGAAUUUCAGCUGGGUCUGAGUACUGAGGGGAGCAAGGAGGGUGAGCAAGGUGAGCAGGACACACCGUGGGGCCCCCUUGGAAUGGCAGCGCAGUGGGAGCCAACACCAGGUCCAAGCUUGGAGACCACUCUUUUAGGAAGUUCUCAUCAGGAAGAGAAACCUACAAAGCAGUUACUGUGGUUAUUUGAGGUCUCUUAUACAUCCAUAUGAAACCCAAAACUUCUGCACAGCUAAGGAAACAAUCAUCAAAAUGAAAAUACAGCCUACAGAAUGACAAAAAUACUUGCUAACUGUCCAUCUGACAAAGGAUUAAUAUCCAGCACAUGUAAGAAACUAAAAAAAAAAAUAACAAAAAAUAAUCUA
Ictidomys tridecemlineatus (thirteen-lined ground squirrel) is the source of this 583-nucleotide non-coding RNA. NCBI's taxonomy places the organism in Eukaryota, Metazoa, Chordata, Mammalia, Rodentia, Sciuridae. The record is from RefSeq and is a predicted model, not a curated record.